Molecule: long non-coding RNA, 769 nt
Filed under: Homo sapiens (human)
Lineage: Eukaryota; Metazoa; Chordata; Mammalia; Primates; Hominidae
Description: HSALNT0048430
Source: RNAcentral
UUCACAAUCUCUAUUACCUGUGGGUUCCCAGGUGUCACAGACGCCAGGGAUUGCUAAAAGUCCUCCAGUGGAAACAGAAGGCAAACUGCACGGCUUCUCCCUGUCCUGUUCAAACGCAGAAGCAAAUGUCACACUUUUCUGCUUCAGGAGAUACCUAAAAUUCAUGUGGCCAUUGCAGGAAAUCACUGAACCCCAGACAGAUCUGCAAGCGGAGAAUUCAGACCUCCAAGUGGAUAGAGUUAUUACAUUUUUCCUCACACCUGCUGUCUUUCAAUCUAAGACCUCUUCCUCUUGAAAAUUCUUAAUUUUGUGCCACGCCAGCACCCUCUGCUGGUACUAGUGUCGUCAUUCAGGUGGUUUCUGUGCCCCUGGAGUUGCGUUCUUUCCUGAAACUAACUUCUCUUACCUUAAAUCCUGGACUAGUGGAUAGUGCUCUUCAUUGCCUUCCAUCAAGACACACACACAAAUGAAGCAAGAUGAAGUGUAAAAAGGUUGUGAGUUAAUUAAAAUCACAUUUCAGUUUAUUGUACUUUUGCCUGAGCAACCCCUUUGUUUGUGUAUUUCAUAUUAUUUUGAAAUAUAGGAUAAUUAAAAGUGGUUUUAUUUUCUGGAUGCUGGUUACUGCAUGUUUCAGAUAAUUUUCCUUGCUAAAAGUAUUCUCUUAGUCUUUAAUCUUUAAAAUGCAUAUUAUGGCAGAGACAAUACAAGAUCCUUUCAUUUUUUCCAGGCUAAAAAGGAAAACUAUAAUCUUCCAGCACCUUAGCUUAUA